This 485-nucleotide ribosomal RNA is filed under the name uncultured bacterium. RNAcentral describes it as "partial 16S ribosomal RNA". It matches the Rfam family "Bacterial small subunit ribosomal RNA", at positions 28 to 523 of the family's 1533-position model. The record is from RNAcentral.
GAUGAACGCUGGCGGCGUGCCUUAAGCAUGCAAGUCGAAUGAGAACGGGAUAUAGCUUGCUAUAUUUGUCAGCUAAGUGGCGCACGGGUGAGUAAUGUAUAGAUAACCUGCCCUCUAGAAAGGAAUAACAGUUGGAAGCGACUGCUAAUGCCCUAUAUGCCUUUAAUACAUAAGUAUGCAAGGGAAACGCUUUAGUGCUAGAGGAUGGGUCUGUAUGGUAUCAGCUUGUUGGUGAGGUAAUGGCUCACCAAGGCUAUGACGCCUAACUGGUUUGAGAGGAUGAUCAGUCACACUGGAACUGAGACACGGUCCAGACUCCUACGGGAGGCAGCAGUGGGGAAUAUUGCACAAUGGACGAAAGUCUGAUGCAGCAACGCCGCGUGGAGGAUGACACAUUUCGGUGCGUAAACUCCUUUUAUAUAGGAAGAUAAUGACGGUACUAUAUGAAUAAGCACCGGCUAACUCCGUGCCAGCCGCCGCGGUAA